UACGUAGGGACCAAGCGUUGUUCGGAUUUACUGGGCGUAAAGGGCGCGUAGGCGGCAAUUCAAGUCAUCUGUGAAAUCUCCGGGCUUAACCCGGAACGGUCAGAUGAUACUGCUUUGCUAGAGUGCGGAAGGGGCAAUCGGAAUUCUUGGUGUAGCGGUGAAAUGCGUAGAUAUCAAGAGGAGCCACUGAGGUGAAGACGGGUUGCUGGGCCGACACUGACGCUGAUAGCGCGAAAGCCAGGGGAGCAAACGGG
This 254-nucleotide ribosomal RNA is filed under the name uncultured bacterium. RNAcentral's name for it is "partial 16S ribosomal RNA". It matches the Rfam family "Bacterial small subunit ribosomal RNA", at positions 524 to 776 of the family's 1533-position model. The record is from RNAcentral.